This 436-nucleotide non-coding RNA is filed under the name Ophiocordyceps sinensis CO18. RNAcentral describes it as "Eukaryotic small subunit ribosomal RNA". It matches the Rfam family "Eukaryotic small subunit ribosomal RNA", at positions 1 to 442 of the family's 1831-position model. The record is from Rfam by way of RNAcentral. Lineage: Eukaryota; Fungi; Ascomycota; Sordariomycetes; Hypocreales; Ophiocordycipitaceae.
UACCUGGUUGAUUCUGCCAGUAGUCAUAUGCUUGUCUCAAAGAUUAAGCCAUGCAUGUCUAAGUAUAAGCAAUUAUACAGCGAAACUGCGAAUGGCUCAUUAUAUAAGUUAUCGUUUAUUUGAUAGUACCUUACUACUUGGAUAACCGUGGUAAUUCUAGAGCUAAUACAUGCUGAAAAUCCCGACUCCGGAAGGGAUGUAUUUAUUAGAUUCAAAGCCAAUGCCCUCCGGGCUCACUGGUGAUUCAUGAUAACUCCUCGAAUCGCACGGCCUUGCGCCGGCGAUGGUUCAUUCAAAUUUCUUCCCUAUCAACUUUCGAUGUUUGGGUAGUGGCCAAACAUGGUUGCAACGGGUAACGGAGGGUUAGGGCUCGACCCCGGAGAAGGAGCCUGAGAAACGGCUACUACAUCCAAGGAAGGCAGCAGGCGCGCAAAUU